AAUACCGAUGGCGAAGGCAGCCAUCUGGCCUAAUACUGACGCUGAGGUACGAAAGCAUGGGGAGCAACCAGGAUUAGAUACCCUGGUAGUCCAUGCCGUAAACGAUGUCUACUAGCCGUUGGGCCUUUGAGGCUUUAGUGGCGCAGCUAACGCGAUAAGUAGACCGCCUGGGAGUACGGUCGCAAGACUAAAACUCAAAUGAAUUGACGGGGGCCCGCACAAGCGGUGGAGCAUGUGGUUUAAUUCGAUGCAACGCGAAGAACCUUACCUGGUCUUGACAUAGUAAGAACUUUCCAGAGAUGGAUUGGUGCCUUCGGGAACUUACAUACAGGUGCUGCAUGGCUGUCGUCAGCUCGUGUCGUGAGAUGUUGGGUUAAGUCCCGCAACGAGCGCAACCCUUUUCCUUAUUUGCCAGCACUUCGGGUGGGAACUUUAAGGAUACUGCCAGUGACAAACUGGAGGAAGGCGGGGACGACGUCAAGUCAUCAUGGCCCUUACGACCAGGGCUACACACGUGCUACAAUGGUCGGUACAAAGGGUUGCUUCCUAGCGAUAGGAUGCUAAUCUCAAAAAGCCGAUCGUAGUCCGGAUUGGAGUCUGCA
Molecule: ribosomal RNA, 602 nt
Filed under: Acinetobacter sp. R15(2010)
Lineage: Bacteria; Pseudomonadati; Pseudomonadota; Gammaproteobacteria; Moraxellales; Moraxellaceae
Description: bacterial SSU rRNA
Rfam family: Bacterial small subunit ribosomal RNA
Source: RNAcentral